AGAGCGAACUUGUAGCCAAUAAUGAUUUGCCGGCUUUGUAGUGCAGCAAAGGGCUUCACAUUAGAUGGCCGGCAAGUUAUUCUUGGCGACAUUUUACUCUCU
RNAcentral lists this microRNA precursor (102 nucleotides) under Eucalyptus grandis. The record is from RNAcentral. Lineage: Eukaryota; Viridiplantae; Streptophyta; Magnoliopsida; Myrtales; Myrtaceae.